This 497-nucleotide ribosomal RNA is filed under the name uncultured bacterium. RNAcentral's name for it is "partial 16S ribosomal RNA". It matches the Rfam family "Bacterial small subunit ribosomal RNA", at positions 28 to 523 of the family's 1533-position model. The record is from RNAcentral.
GAUGAGCGCUGGCGGCGUGCUUAACACAUGCAAGUCGAACGAAGCAUUUAGAACAGAUUAUUUCGGUAUGAAGUUCUUUAUGACUGAGUGGCGGACGGGUGAGUAACGCGUGGGUAACCUGCCUUGUACUGGGGGAUAGCAGCUGGAAACGGCUGGUAAUACCGCAUAAGCGCACGUUGCUGCAUGGCACAGUGUGAAAAACUCCGGUGGUAUAAGAUGGACCCGCGUCUGAUUAGCUAGUUGGUGAGAUAACAGCCCACCAAGGCGACGAUCAGUAGCCGACCUGAGAGGGUGACCGGCCACAUUGGGACUGAGACACGGCCCAGACUCCUACGGGAGGCAGCAGUGGGGAAUAUUGCACAAUGGAGGAAACUCUGAUGCAGCGACGCCGCGUGAGUGAAGAAGUAAUUCGUUAUGUAAAGCUCUAUCAGCAGGGAAGAUAGUGACGGUGCCUGACUAAGAAGCUCCGGCUAAAUACGUGCCAGCCGCCGCGGUAA